GAUGAAGAACGCAGCGAAAUGCGAUAAGUAAUGUGAAUUGCAGAACUCAGUGAAUCAUCGAAUCUUUGAACGCACAUUGCGCCCCCUGGUAUUCCGGGGGGCAUGCCUGUCCGAGCGUCAUUGCUGCCCUCAAGCACGGCUUGUGUGUUGGGCCUCCGUCCUCCUCCCGGGGGACGGGCCCGAAAGGCAGCGGCGGCACCGCGUCCGGUCCUCGAGCGUAUGGGGCUUCGUCACCCGCUCUUGUAGGCCCGGCCGGCGCUUGCCGACACAUCAAUCUUUUUUCCAGGUUGACCUCGGAUCAGGUAGGGAUACCCGCUGAACUUAAGCAUAUCAAAAGCGGAGGA
Molecule: unclassified non-coding RNA, 344 nt
Filed under: soil metagenome
Description: partial contains 5.8S ribosomal RNA, internal transcribed spacer 2, and large subunit ribosomal RNA
Rfam family: 5.8S ribosomal RNA (bases 1-120)
Source: RNAcentral